Molecule: ribosomal RNA, 629 nt
Filed under: Pendola sp. UPOL 000M45
Lineage: Eukaryota; Metazoa; Arthropoda; Insecta; Coleoptera; Lycidae
Description: eukaryotic LSU rRNA
Rfam family: Eukaryotic large subunit ribosomal RNA
Source: RNAcentral
GGAGUCCAGCAUGUGCGCGAGUCAUUGGGACAUAGCGAAACCUAAAGGCGAAAUGAAAGUGAAGGUCGGCCUCGCGCCGACCGAGGGAGGAUGGGACGCGUCACAGCGCGCGACCCCGCACUCCCGGGGCGUCUCGUUCUCAUCGCGAGAAGAGGCGCACCAAGAGCGUACACGCUGGGACCCGAAAGAUGGUGAACUAUGCCUGGUCAGGACGAAGUCAGGGGAAACCCUGAUGGAGGUCCGAAGCGAUUCUGACGUGCAAAUCGAUCGUCGGAACUGGGUAUAGGGGCGAAAGACUAAUCGAACCAUCUAGUAGCUGGUUCCCUCCGAAGUUUCCCUCAGGAUAGCUGGCGCUCGCCUUGCGAGUCUCAUCUGGUAAAGCGAAUGAUUAGAGGCAUUGGGGUCGAAACGGCCUCAACCUAUUCUCAAACUUUAAAUGGGUGAGAUCUCCGGCUUGCUUGAACGGUGAAGCCGCGAGAUCGGAUCAGAGUGCCAAGUGGGCCAUUUUUGGUAAGCAGAACUGGCGCUGUGGGAUGAACCAAACGCAGAGUUAAAGCUCCAAAAUCAACGCUCAUGGGAUACCAUGAAAGGCGUUGGUAACUUAAGACAGCAGGACGGUGGCCAUGGAA